RNAcentral lists this long non-coding RNA (243 nucleotides) under Carica papaya (papaya). RNAcentral's name for it is "long non-coding RNA (CPAP_LNC006145)". Lineage: Eukaryota; Viridiplantae; Streptophyta; Magnoliopsida; Brassicales; Caricaceae. The record is from RNAcentral.
AACGGUCAAGCGAUUGAAUGGUUCAGAUCUAAAGGAGAAUUGUGAUCUAGUAGUUGAGGGAAUAGGAUGGCAAAACUAUGAUUUUGCCAUUAAUGAAGGCAUUCCAAGGGACCACAUGCAGCCAUGUUUGCGAGGUUUGUGUGGUCCAGAUUCAUUGAGUGGUGGGUUUAAAAACCCAUCUAGGCCACCCAACCCAACCCAAUCUGAAAAGGAAGAAAGAAAGAACAUAAGAACAAAAGAAGA